UACGAAGGGGGUUAGCGUUGUUCGGAAUUACUGGGCGUAAAGCGCGCGCAGGCGGCUAUCCAAGUCAGUGGUGAAAGCCCGGAGCUCAACUCCGGAACUGCCAUUGAAACUGUUUAGCUUGAGGAUGAGAGAGGUGAGUGGAAUUCCCAGUGUAGAGGUGAAAUUCGUAGAUAUUGGGAAGAACACCGGUGGCGAAGGCGGCUCACUGGCUCAUUACUGACGCUCAGGCGCGAUAGCGUGGGGAUCAAACAGG
Molecule: ribosomal RNA, 253 nt
Filed under: uncultured bacterium
Lineage: Bacteria
Description: partial 16S ribosomal RNA
Rfam family: Bacterial small subunit ribosomal RNA
Source: RNAcentral